AAACGUGGUGUACAAUCUGAUGCAUUGCAUCUUUGUUGGGAGUUCCUGGGAGGCAGCAGCCAUGCAUAAGCUGAAUAUCUCUUCUUUCCCACAGGACUGCAAAAUACAUUCUGUAUUGGGAUAAAUGCGAGAAAGGAGGAAGUGUGAAAGUUGUCCAUGUCAGUGCAUGCUUUGGCUUUCCUUGGGGAUCCUUGGAAUCACCAAGGAGCACACCUCUCAGACCUCAGUGUUGUAGCUGUUCUCUGGAGAACACGAUAGUGCCUGCUGUGGUACUGCCUUCAUUCCCUCCACUCUUCUGAGCUUCCUUUGGCAUUUGCCAUACUUUGCUGGAGAAAAUGAGAUAAUUCCUGUUUUGCUGGAAGGCCUUACAGUGUCAUGGAAUUUUGGGAGAAUAUUGCUACUCUGGUGACUGCUGUUUGGAGACACGAGUUUCUUGGCUGACAGUGAAGUUGCUGCUGUGGAUUUGUUUCGCCUGUAUUCUGGAAUUGAAAUUUGUCUCUAACAAAAGGGUAGAGGGAAGAAGAAACACUGGGACCUGCACUACUGCAAGCUCUUUGACAGAGUGGAUUUAGAUGCAAAGUAGGUGUGCCAUGGCGUGGACCAGAGUAUACAGAAAUGAGUGUGGCACUGAUGAGCAGAGACAGCCCCUGCAGCAACAAAACUCCUCUCCAAGACUCCUCAGAUGAGAUGUAAGGAAGAAUCAGCAGGCUGAGAGAUCAUCCCUGCAAUGCAUGUCUCCGUGGGAAGGGUGUCAGAGAGUACUUCUGCCAUGUGAGUGUGAGACUACCCCGAGACUACCCCACCUGCAUACACCAAAACCAGUAUACACUUUGGAAAAAACUGAACUUUGCAUCAGAUUGACUUGAAUUUGAUGAUUUAAUGAGAACAACUCAUAGACACCGCCUGUUCUUUCUAUCUUCUGUAUCACAUAAAGGUUUGCAGAUGGUUUAUGAGAUGUUAUGGUCUGUGCUCUGACAGCUGCAAGAUGUUCAGGUUGUUUAUAGAGACUAGAAGAGAACAAAUUCAGCCUUGGCCCCUUCCCCACCUACAUGUGAAGCUAUAUGUGGAACAAAGUGUCUAAUGUUUGCACUGAGCUUCACUUCCACUUGCAGAGCUGAAGACAUGAGGAAACAAGAGCAGAAGACUGCAGGACCUGAAUACAAUCGCAGACGUUAGCUUGAGGCUUCUUUCAACACCCUGCUCUGCAAUACAGCUUUAAUCUUUUCACUGUUAUUCUGAUCAAUACUUCUUUCUGAUACAAUCUUACUGGGGAGAAAAGGUGCUUCCUGAGGGGACCUACAGCUGUGCAUCCAAAACAGACACACUAGAGUGUCUGUAACUUCAACAUGACAGGGAAAAACUUUGCUCUGCCAACACCAGCCCUUCUCAGGCUUGUCAUCACUUGGCAAUUUUUGGUGUUCAGACAUGCUGCUGACAGAAAUUGUGUGAGUUGCUUAAACAGGAGAAUCUGUGUUCUGGAUAAUGCCAGUGAAUCAUCACCAAACUUCUGGGAAAAAAGGGUUUUUAUCAAGGUUAGCCAACAGAGCUGCAAAGUCACCUACCACAGAGAAAAAUGUUACAUUUAAAGCAGCAGAGGGGAAAAGUCUUGGCUAAGUAAGGGAAAGGCUUAAGAAUUGACACUACUCUCUGAGAGAAGGGAUAACUAUCAUGUGCACUUUUAUUUGCUGUGAAAUAAAUUAGACACACCAAGCAGUAGCAUUUACAGAGAAUUCUGCCUGGUCCUGCAACAGCUAUGAAACCCAAGACUACCGGAAAAGCAAAAUCUGCUCAGUGUGUGUUGAAGGGACUGCUCCAAGCUGCUGUCUCUGAUGGGUCAGCCUUCCCCUGCCACAAGCUGUGCCAAAAGCUGACACUGCACUGUGAAGGUUGGUGUGGCUGAGGAGCUUCAUCUACAGCUGGAAAUACGACCUAGCUGACUGAAGUAACAGCAGGGACAUCCGAAGGCUCGUGUUUCAUCCUCCCAGAAGAGGUGCUUUGGUGAUCAGGAGCCUGCCAACAGGCUGUCUUGCUCUGAAGGGGGUUCCUCACCACACAAUGGGACAUGUGACUAGGCAGAAAGCCUGGGGAGAAAUCUCACUCUUGGAUUAAAGGGAAAAGCGAUUUUCACAGGUUCCAGGAAUUAAUGGUGAAUGGUAAGAUCAGCUAGGUUGAUUUUUGUGAGCAUUAUGUUAAGGACAUCUGAGAGUAGCAAAAUGUGAUUGAAGACACAUCAAAAGAGUGGAUUGCUCAGGAUUUUCUAAGGGACACAGCUUCUCUUGGGACUCUGACAACAAAAUAAAUAUGAAUUGCAACAGACCAGGACCCCAUCUGACUCCAGAACAACUGAAAGGAAUCUUGAACCACGGAGGUCAGAGAUACAUUUCAGGGCGCUCUAUGGCUGAAGUGAUGAAAAAUUGUUACACUUAAGAGACUGCAGAGCACAACACCACUGCCCAAGCAAGGAAUCAUGCUGCAGAGAUCAGGAAUGGCAUAACAGGCAACGAGCUAAGGUCUAAAGCUUUGCCUUUGUGGGUUCUUAACUCAAAACAAGUGCAAGUCCUGGAUUCUGGGAAAAGAAUGGGUGGGAAGAAAGAGGAGAGGAAGAGGAGGAUUUAAAAUCUAACCCAAGGAAAUCCUAUGUUCUUGUUGUAAGUUAAAAGCAUAAAAAUAUACAGUCACUAUAGGCACAAA
Parus major (Great Tit) is the source of this 2691-nucleotide long non-coding RNA. RefSeq lists it as uncharacterized. The transcript has 5 exons. NCBI's taxonomy places the organism in Eukaryota, Metazoa, Chordata, Aves, Passeriformes, Paridae. The record is from RefSeq and is a predicted model, not a curated record.